This 108-nucleotide ribosomal RNA is filed under the name Escherichia coli. RNAcentral's name for it is "partial 16S ribosomal RNA". It matches the Rfam family "Bacterial small subunit ribosomal RNA", at positions 1 to 99 of the family's 1533-position model. Lineage: Bacteria; Pseudomonadati; Pseudomonadota; Gammaproteobacteria; Enterobacterales; Enterobacteriaceae. RNAcentral also lists the same sequence under 2 other names. The record is from RNAcentral.
UUAAAUUGAAGAGUUUGAUCAUGGCUCAGAUUGAACGCUGGCGGCAGGCCUAACACAUGCAAGUCGAACGGUAACAGGAAACAGCUUGCUGUUUCGCUGACGAGUGGC